UGGGGAAUAUUGCACAAUGGAGGAAACUCUGAUGCAGCGACGCCGCGUGAGCGAAGAAGUAUCUCGGUAUGUAAAGCUCUAUCAGCAGGGAAGAAAAAAAUGACGGUACCUGACUAAGAAGCCCCGGCUAACUACGUGCCAGCAGCCGCGGUAAUACGUAGGGGGCAAGCGUUAUCCGGAUUUACUGGGUGUAAAGGGAGCGCAGGCGGAAGGCUAAGUCUGAUGUGAAAACCCGGGGCUCAACCCCGGGACUGCAUUGGAAACUGGUCAUCUGGAGUGUCGGAGAGGUAAGUGGAAUUCCUAGUGUAGCGGUGAAAUGCGUAGAUAUUAGGAGGAACACCAGUGGCGAAGGCGGCUUACUGGACGACAACUGACGCUGAGGCUCGAAAGCGUGGGGAGCAAACAGG
RNAcentral lists this ribosomal RNA (407 nucleotides) under uncultured bacterium. Its description in RNAcentral is "bacterial SSU rRNA". It matches the Rfam family "Bacterial small subunit ribosomal RNA", at positions 355 to 776 of the family's 1533-position model. The record is from RNAcentral.